This 985-nucleotide ribosomal RNA is filed under the name uncultured archaeon. RNAcentral describes it as "bacterial SSU rRNA". It matches the Rfam family "Archaeal small subunit ribosomal RNA", at positions 42 to 1002 of the family's 1478-position model. The record is from RNAcentral.
GUUUUAAGCCAUGCGAGUUAUGCGCCUUCAAGCUAUGUUGAGGGUGCAGCGUACGGCUCAAUAACACGUAGUUAAUCUGCCCUUGGGACGGGAAUAACCCUGGGAAACUGGGGCUAAUGCCCGAUAGGCGCAGUGGCCUGGAAUGGUACUGCACCUAAAGGGCUCCAGGAACAUGCUCUUGGAGUCGCCCAAGGAUGAGACUGCGGCCGAUCAGGUUGUUGGUGGGGUAACGGCCUACCAAGCCUAUAACCGGUACGGGCCCUGAGAGGGGGGGCCCGGAGAUGGGAACUGAGACAAGGUCCCAGGUCCUACGGGGCGCAGCAGGCGCGAGAACUCCACAAUGCGCGAAUGCGUGAUGGGGUCAGCCCGAGUGCCGUCCGAUGAGGAUGGCUUUUCUCCAGUUUAAGGAGCUGGAGGAAUAAAGGGGGGGCAAGACUGGUGUCAGCCGCCGCGGUAAUACCAGCCCCCUGAGUGGUAAGGACGAUUAUUUGGCCUAAAGCGUCCGUAGCCGGCUUGGUAAGUCUUCCGUUAAAUCCGGCGAUUCCAUCGUCGGGCCGCGGAAGAUACUGCUAGGCUUGAGGACGGGAGAGGUCGACGGUAGUCCCAGGGUAGGGGUGAAAUCCUAUAAUCCUGGGAGGACCACCAGUGGCGAAGGCGGUCGACUAGAACGUGCCUGACGGUGAUGGACGAAAGCUGGGGGAGCGAACCGGAUUAGACACCCGGGUAGUCCCAGCUGUAAACGAUGCGAGCUAGGUGUUAGAGCAACUAUGGGUUGCUCUAGUGCCGCAGAGAAGUUGUUAAGCUCGCCGCCUGGGAAGUACGGCCGCAAGGCUGAAACUUAAAGGAAUUGGCGGGGGAGCACCACAAGGGGUGAAGCCUGCGGUUCAAUUGGAGUCAACGCCGGGAAACUUACCGAGGCUGACAGCAGAGUGAAGGCCAGAUUAAGGGUCUUGCCAGACAAGCUGAGAGGAGGUGCAUGGCCCUA